Non-coding RNA from Electrophorus electricus (electric eel), 1203 nucleotides. Lineage: Eukaryota; Metazoa; Chordata; Actinopteri; Gymnotiformes; Gymnotidae. The record is from RefSeq and is a predicted model, not a curated record.
UAAACACAAUAAACAUAAUACUGUUACUUAAAACAAAAUGAUAUUAAGCCAAUUUUUUUUUUUUUUUAAACAAUCAACUUUAUUAUGGUGACAGCAUACUGUAGUGGCCAGCUGUCUGAAGUAUGAAAGGAAAGAAGGCAAUUAAUCGGACUUACCAGGUAUAGCGUGGGAGUUACCAGGUAUAGCGUGGGAGUUACCAAGUAUAGCGUGGGAGUUACCAGGUAUAGCCUAGGACUUACCAGGUAUAGCCUAGGUGUUACCAGGUAUAGCCUAGGUGUUACCAGGUAUAGCCUAGGACUUACCAGGUAUAGCCUAGGUGUUACCAGGUAUACCCUGGGAGUCACCAGGUAUAGCCUAGGACUUACCAGGUAUAGCCUAGGUGUUACCAGGUAUAGCCUAGGUGUUACCAGGUAUAGCCUAGGAGUUACCAGGUAUAGCCUAGGUGUUACCAGGUAUAGCCUAGGAGUUACCAGGUAUAGCCUAGGACUUACCAGGUAUAGCCUGGGAGUUACCAGGUAUAGCCUAGGACUUACCAGGUAUAUAGGGGAUGCGCAGUCAAUGGGAUUCACUGGAAUUACGCCCACUGAAGUUCCAUUUAGGGUUCAUUCCACUCUACAGGGUCUCUAAGCAGUGCCCUGGAGUUCCCGACACACUAAUCAUGAGACAUGGUCAGAGGUGAUUGAAUCACUUCAUUUGGAAAGCCAUGCAACAUCAUCACAGAGGAGGCAUUACACGUGUUGUGCUUUUUCAUUUCCCUUGACAGCUUUGCGGUUGGACAGUUAUUUACUUGCUAAUGUGGCUAAAAUUAAUUGUAUCUAUGUAACAAUGACCCCAUAUUGUCCACCUAAAAUGAAUAUUUGCCUUAUGAUGGCUGAACAGCUUGAUAAAGCCAAGAUUUACCCUUAGAAUGAAUAACAUUAUCUAGCUAGGUAAAAGUUAACAAAUUCGUCUUCCAGCUAAUUUGGCAACUUUUCUGAACAGGUUUCAUCCACAUCACAAAUUGAUAGCAAAUUUAUAAAUAUGACACAAGUAAACUCUAACUUAUUGCUGUUUAGGUGCUGCUCUCUGACAGUCAGCCAUCCAGCAGUCUUAACUUGCCAAAAGGUCUUCAUAGAUACAUAUACACAUUCCCCAUUUGUCUGUAAUUUUGGAAGCAGACGUAUGCAUUACACUGAAAUUAGCAAGGAAAAUGGACCUGUAAAC